GGAGAAGGCCUGGGGUUAGAUUCAAGAAUGUCAUAUUUAAGGCUAACUCUGCCACCAUUCCUUCUUAGGCAAGGCACUUAACCUCCCUGUCCUAAGUUUCUGUACCUCUAAAGCGCCUUGUACUACUAGUUCAGAACCAUAGCUGUCACUGUGGUGCUACUCUUACUGUUACUGUUACCGGUGGCAGAGACCCGAAUCACCCUGAGUAACCAGCGGCAGAUUCGUACCAGUCGGCAGCAACUUAAAUUCUUGCCUUCUCGGAAGAAAGAAUUUGACUGAGGUGCAUAAAGCAGAAAAAGAGACCGAGAUCAAACAUCAAACUGCCAAAGACAGAAAAUUAUUUACUGAUGUACAUUAUUUGACAAACUAUUCAAAGGAAUGACCCCACUAUUUAUGCAGUUUUAAGCAGAGAAGGAGAGUCUCCAGGAACUAUACGAAUUAAUCAACUUGAGCAAUCAGCCUGUUUUACAGCCUCCUGCCUUGGAGACUACUUUUUCCAAAACUCUAUGUGGGAUGUGGUCACCUAGUUGGUUGGAACCAGCUCCUGACAGACCCCAGCAACUGACAGAUGAACCUGAGUGAACUUUCCUCAUUAUCAUGCUAAAGUCUCCAUCCCGAAAGGAACUAUAGCUUCAUUACCAGAACAUGCAACCUUUGUGCUGGCAUAAAGGCUCACUGCGUCUAAAGCAACUGGGACCCGUCCCGUACAUGUGAUGAUGCACACUCUCCUCUCUCCAUAGCGCCAUAAACUCUCUCAGGGAGACACUGCUUUGAGGAAUGCUUCCUUACUUGUGCUAAGUAAUAAAACUCCUAUUGAUUAAAAUUUACAUUCUUGUGGAUUCGUUUGUUACUGGACAAGUGAGUGAAUUCAUUUUUUUUCAGGUUAGUCAUCAAAAUAAACUUUGUGGAUAUGAUUGUACAUUACUUAUUCUUUUAUUCUCAUACCUCCAUUUAUAUUCAUGUUCUGUUAAUUCUACAUUCCUAAAGAAUUAAACUUUCUCUUCCAAAAGAUCUAUUAUGGCCUUUAUACAAUGUCUUUAUAAUUUUCUAUGAGAACUAUUGAAGUAGCUGCCUAAUUAAUAUCUCCGUCUUAGGUUUGUAACCUUUUUGUUCAUUUUCUAGUCUUCUAUCAAAGUAAUCUUUCUCAAAUAUAAAUCUGGUCAUAUUUGUUCCAUGCUUACAUCUCUUUGAUUACUUCCCAUUAUCUACUAAAAAAUGUUCAAAUGUCUGGCUCGAGAAACAUGAUCUUCUUGAUGAUUUUGCUGGCUUUUUCAUCUUCAUUUUCUACUUGUGACCCCUUGAAUCCAACAAACCAGUUAUAAUAAAGCAUGCUUUUCUUCAUCAUUUGCUACCUUUUCAUGGAAUAUCUUAUCCUUUGCCCUCCAUUUCCCUUAUAUCUUCUCUUUGUAGAUCAAGUUCAAGCAAUAUGUUCUCUGUGAAGUUUUUCCUGACUAGUCCUAAUGCAACUACCUCUCAAAGUUAUGUUAAUAGCAGACCUUCCCUUUACAUAACUCCAUGCUAUACAGACCUCUCUUAUAUUACCUACAGUAUAUUUCCAUGUUUUUUUAUCUUGCUAGCCUGUAAGACCUCUAAGGCUAUUACUCAUUUUUGUAAUAUCAAAAGUACAAGUUAUAUAUGGUAUGUAAUGAGUGAUUAAAACAUUUGUUGAACGAUUUUACAUGUGUGUCUAAAAUGCAGCGUUGGUUCCUGGACAUUUCGAAUACUCA
RNAcentral lists this long non-coding RNA (1727 nucleotides) under Homo sapiens (human). Its description in RNAcentral is "HSALNT0358176". Lineage: Eukaryota; Metazoa; Chordata; Mammalia; Primates; Hominidae. The record is from RNAcentral.